Molecule: small RNA, 46 nt
Filed under: Lacipirellula limnantheis
Lineage: Bacteria; Pseudomonadati; Planctomycetota; Planctomycetia; Pirellulales; Lacipirellulaceae
Description: Acido-Lenti-1 RNA
Rfam family: Acido-Lenti-1 RNA
Source: Rfam by way of RNAcentral
CCGUGGGCUUACGCCCACGGCUAAGUCAUGUCGCCGCGUCGCGGCU